GUUGUGCCAAACAAAAGUAAAAAGCAAAGAUAAAUGAAUAAAAAGGAAUUAAUAAAUUACAGAUUAAAAAAAUGGAAGCUUGAAUGAAUUCCACGAUAAGGAAAAACAGUAUCAAGGAGGGAGAUCUGGCAAGCUCUCGUGUCAAUGAGCAAAACCUCCAGUUUAACAAACAAUAACUUGAGGAUUCUCAGCCUGGGAGCCUGUGUCAUAAUCAUUCACUUUUCCGAUAUUCCUCUUGAAGGACAUACUAGGGAUAAGCAAGAGGCGGCGGCAUAAUUACUGGCUCCAACCCUUCACAAUAACGUGAGGAAUCCUGUAAAUCGGGAAAGAAACGUUGCACCGGUGCCUGGAGUUGGUGGGCAUGAAUUGCAUUUACAUUA
RNAcentral lists this small RNA (380 nucleotides) under Histoplasma capsulatum. RNAcentral's name for it is "hypothetical RNA". Lineage: Eukaryota; Fungi; Ascomycota; Eurotiomycetes; Onygenales; Ajellomycetaceae. The record is from RNAcentral. RNAcentral also lists the same sequence under 1 other name.